AGGGUUUGAUCAUGGCUCAGAACGAACGUUGGCGGCGUGGAUAAGACAUGCAAGUUGAACGCGAUUUUCACCGUAGCAAUACGGUGGGAGUUGAGUAGCGCAAGGGUGCGUAACACGUGAGAAUCUACCCUGAAGUUGGGGAUAACUCGCUGAAAGGCGAGCUAAUACCGAAUGUGACCGCAAGGUUAAAGCUGGGGACCCGCAAGGGCCUGGCGCUUCUUGAUGAGCUCGCGGCCUAUCAGCUAGUUGGCGGGGUAAAGGCCCACCAAGGCAAAGACGGGUAGCUGGUCUGAGAGGACGACCAGCCACACUGGAACUGAGACACGGUCCAGACACCUACGGGUGGCAGCAGUCGAGAAUUUUUCUCAAUGGGCGCAAGCCUGAAGGAGCGACGCCGCGUGGGGGAUGAAGGGUUUCGAUCCGUAAACCCCUGUCAUUUGUGAACAAUGGCCAUUGUUGAAUAGGCGGUGGCUUGAUAGUAACAGAAGAGGAAGGGACGGCUAACUCUGUGCCAGCAGCCGCGGUAAUACAGAGGUCCCAAGCGUUGUUCGGAUUCACUGGGCGUAAAGGGUGCGCAGGUGGCGCCUCAAGUUUGAUGUGAAAGCCCCGGGCUUAACCCGGGAAUGGCAUUGAAUACUGGGGUGCUGGAGGUUUGGAGGGGGGACUGGAAUUCUCGGUGUAGCAGUGAAAUGCGUAGAUAUCGAGAGGAACACCAGUGGCGAAGGCGAGUCCCUGGACAACACCUGACACUGAGGCACGAAAGCCGGGGGAGCAAACAGGAUUAGAUACCCUGGUAGUCCCGGCCCUAAACGGUGCGCGUUUGCUGUGGGAGGAAUCGACCCCUUUCCGU
This 850-nucleotide ribosomal RNA is filed under the name uncultured Verrucomicrobiota bacterium. RNAcentral describes it as "bacterial SSU rRNA". It matches the Rfam family "Bacterial small subunit ribosomal RNA", at positions 8 to 844 of the family's 1533-position model. Lineage: Bacteria; Pseudomonadati; Verrucomicrobiota. The record is from RNAcentral.